GAUGAACGCUGGCGGCGUGCCUAAUACAUGCAAGUCGAGCGAACGGACGAGAAGCUUGCUUCUCUGAUGUUAGCGGCGGACGGGUGAGUAACACGUGGAUAACCUACCUAUAAGACUGGGAUAACUUCGGGAAACCGGAGCUAAUACCGGAUAAUAUUUUGAACCGCAUGGUUCAAAAGUGAAAGACGGUCUUGCUGUCACUUAUAGAUGGAUCCGCGCUGCAUUAGCUAGUUGGUAAGGUAACGGCUUACCAAGGCAACGAUGCAUAGCCGACCUGAGAGGGUGAUCGGCCAGACUGGAACUGAGACACGGUCCAGACUCCUACGGGAGGCAGCAGUAGGGAAUCUUCCGCAAUGGGCGAAAGCCUGACGGAGCAACGCCGCGUGAGUGAUGAAGGUCUUCGGAUCGUAAAACUCUGUUAUUAGGGAAGAACAGAUGUGUAAGUAACUGUGCACAUCUUGACGGUACCUAAUCAGAAAGCCACGGCUAACUACGUG
Molecule: ribosomal RNA, 497 nt
Filed under: uncultured bacterium
Lineage: Bacteria
Description: partial 16S ribosomal RNA
Rfam family: Bacterial small subunit ribosomal RNA
Source: RNAcentral